Molecule: ribosomal RNA, 253 nt
Filed under: uncultured bacterium
Lineage: Bacteria
Description: partial 16S ribosomal RNA
Rfam family: Bacterial small subunit ribosomal RNA
Source: RNAcentral
UACGUAGGUGGCAAGCGUUAUCCGGAUUUAUUGGGCGUAAAGGGAACGCAGGCGGUCUUUUAAGUCUGAUGUGAAAGCCUUCGGCUUAACCGGAGUAGUGCAUUGGAAACCGGGAGACUUGAGUGCAGAAGAGGAGAGUGGAACUCCAUGUGUAGCGGUGAAAUGCGUAGAUAUAUGGAAGAACACCAGUGGCGAAAGCGGCUCUCUGGUCUGUAACUGACGCUGAGGUUCGAAAGCGUGGGCAGCAAACAGG